This 607-nucleotide ribosomal RNA is filed under the name uncultured soil bacterium. RNAcentral's name for it is "bacterial SSU rRNA". It matches the Rfam family "Bacterial small subunit ribosomal RNA", at positions 224 to 823 of the family's 1533-position model. The record is from RNAcentral.
GAGGGGCCCGCGUCUGAUUAGCUAGUUGGUGGGGUAACGGCUCACCAAGGCAACGAUCAGUAUCCGGCCUGAGAGGGCGGACGGACACACUGGGACUGAGACACGGCCCAGACUCCUACGGGAGGCAGCAGUGGGGAAUUGUUCGCAAUGGGCGCAAGCCUGACGACGCAACGCCGCGUGGAGGAUGAAGAUCUUCGGGUCGUAAACUCCUUUCGAUCGAGACGAAUGGCCCUUGGGCUAAUCACCAGGGGAAUGACGGUACCGAGAGAAGAAGCCCCGGCUAACUCCGUGCCAGCAGCCGCGGUAAUACGGGGGGGGCAAGCGUUGUUCGGAAUUACUGGGCGUAAAGGGCUCGUAGGUGGCCAACUAAGUCAUACGUGAAAUCCCUCGGCAUAACCGGGGAACUGCGUCUGAUACUGGUUGGCUUGAGUUUGGGAGAGGGACGCGGAAUUCCAGGUGUAGCGGUGAAAUGCGUAGAUAUCUGGAGGAACACCGGUGGCGAAGGCGGCGUCCUGGACCAAUACUGACACUGAGGAGCGAAAGCCAGGGGAGCAAACGGGAUUAGAUACCCCGGUAGUCCUGGCCCUAAACGAUGAAUGCUUGGUGU